GAUGAACGCUGGCGGCGUGCCUAACACAUGCAAGUCGAGCGAACGGACGAGAAGCUUGCUUCUCUGAUGUUAGCGGCGGACGGGUGAGUAACAUGUGGAUAACCUACCUAUAAGACUGGGAUCACUUCGGGACUCCGUAGCUAAUACCGGAUAAUAUUUUGAACCGCAUGGUUCAAAAGUGAAAGACGGUCUUGCUGUCACUUAUCGAUGGAUCCGCGCUGCAUUAGCUAGUUGUUAAGGUAACGGCUUACCAAGGCAACGCUGCAUAGCCGACCUGAGAGAGUGGUAGGCCACACGGGAACUGGGACAGCGUCCAGAGUCCUAAGGUAGGCAGCAGAAGGGUACCGUACGCAGUGGGCGAAAGCCUGGCGGAGCAACGGGGCGUGAGUGAUGAAGGUCUUCGGAUCGGAAAAAUCUGCUAUUAGGGAAGAACAGAUGUGGAAGUAACUGAACACAUAUUGACGGUACCGGAUCAGAAAGCCACGGCUAACUACGUG
This 497-nucleotide ribosomal RNA is filed under the name uncultured bacterium. RNAcentral's name for it is "partial 16S ribosomal RNA". It matches the Rfam family "Bacterial small subunit ribosomal RNA", at positions 28 to 507 of the family's 1533-position model. The record is from RNAcentral.